UAAGAUUCUAGUAGCCGCCUCAACAA
RNAcentral lists this non-coding RNA (26 nucleotides) under Mus musculus (house mouse). Lineage: Eukaryota; Metazoa; Chordata; Mammalia; Rodentia; Muridae. The record is from RNAcentral.